UACGAAAGGGGCUAGCGUUGCUCGGAAUCACUGGGCGUAAAGCGCACGUAGGCGGAUUGUUAAGUCGGGGGUGAAAUCCUGGAGCUCAACUCCAGAACUGCCUUCGAUACUGGCGAUCUUGAGUCCGGGAGAGGUGAGUGGAACUCCGAGUGUAGAGGUGAAAUUCGUAGAUAUUCGGAAGAACACCAGUGGCGAAGGCGGCUCACUGGCCCGGUACUGACGCUGAGACGCGAAAGCGUGGGGAGCAAACAGG
This 253-nucleotide ribosomal RNA is filed under the name uncultured bacterium. RNAcentral's name for it is "partial 16S ribosomal RNA". It matches the Rfam family "Bacterial small subunit ribosomal RNA", at positions 524 to 776 of the family's 1533-position model. The record is from RNAcentral.